Molecule: ribosomal RNA, 373 nt
Filed under: uncultured bacterium
Lineage: Bacteria
Description: bacterial SSU rRNA
Rfam family: Bacterial small subunit ribosomal RNA
Source: RNAcentral
GGCNGGAGCAAGCGUUGUUCGGAUUUACUGGGCGUAAAGGGCGCGUAGGCGGCCACCGCAAGUCGACUGUGAAAUCUCCGGGCUUAACCCGGAAAGGUCAGCCGAUACUGCGGGACUAGAGUGCAGAAGGGGCAACUGGAAUUCUCGGUGUAGCGAUGAAAUGCGUAGAUAUCGAGAGGAACACCUGCGGCGAAGGCGGGUUGCUGGGCUGACACUGACGCUGAUGCGCGAAAGCUAGGGGAGCGAACGGGAUUAGAUACCCCGGUAGUCCUAGCCUUAAACGAUGAAUGCUUGGUGUCUGGGGUUUUAUAGUCCCCGGGUGCCGUCGCUAACGCUUUAAGCAUUCCGCCUGGGGAGUACGGUCGCAAGACUG